This 1135-nucleotide long non-coding RNA is filed under the name Homo sapiens (human). RNAcentral describes it as "PYDC2 antisense RNA 1". Lineage: Eukaryota; Metazoa; Chordata; Mammalia; Primates; Hominidae. The record is from RNAcentral.
ACCCAGGUUAACCUCUCUUGCAGAACUAGUUUAGCCUGUCCCUUUUACUGGUGAAAUCACUGUUAAUGUUUCUGUAGUAAAGGUAGUGUUUUAAAUGAUUUAUAUAAUACAAUAAAAUUUGUAAUCUCAUUCAAGCUCCUUUCUUCAUCUUUAAAAUGAAGUUAAACUCGGGAAAAAAGGAUUGUUCUAGCUCUGAAUUGCUGCACUACUGUGACUUAAGUGCUCCUCUGCUCUCCUAGCAGCACUUUUAUCUUACGAAUUUAUAUUUAUAUAUAUAUGAUUAGAACAUUAUAAAGUAGAAAAAAUUAUGGUUGUUAUUUUUAUUAGUAGUAGUAUUUUGUCUGUAUUUUGUGAUUUCUGAAGCUGUGGCUACCUGGUUCUUUCUGUUUCAAUUAUGACUUUAAUUGUGAGGCAACACUGUAAAGCACUCAAAUAUCAGUGGUCAGGAAUGUGCUGCAAGCAGAUCCUCUCUCUCUUAUUAAUUCCAGAACACCAAAUGUCUUAGUCCAUUUUGCCUUACCAUAAAGGAAUACCUAAGGCUGGUAAUUUAUAAAUAAAAGAGGUAUAUUUGGCUUAUGCUUCCACAGCCUGUACAAGAAACAUGGUGCCAGCAUCUGCUUCUGGUGAGGACUGCAGGAAGCUUCCAAUCAUGGUCCAAAAAAUGCGGAGCCUGCGUGUCACGUGAUAAGAGAUGGAGCGUGAGAAAGAGGCAGGAGGAGAAAGUGACCCCCACCUUUACAAGUGUCUGUAAUUCUCACUAGCAGUAUAUUAGAGGGCAAAAGAUUUGAACAGACACAUCAGAAAAGAAGACAUACAAAUGGCCGCUAAGCACUUGAAAGGAUUCUGAACACCAUUAGUCAUCAGUGAAAUGCAAAUUAAAGCCAUAAUGAAUGGCGCUAUACAUUUUCAGAAUGGCAAGGAUUGAAGACCGAAAAAAAUCAAGCGUUGAGGAGAGUGACAAAUGGGGAGACAGCCGUGGUGCAUGAUCGCCGAAUAAAUACCAUGUGAGGAUACAGCAAGAAGGUGGCCAUCUACAAGCCAAGGAGACAGGCCUCAGAAGAAACCAACCCUUCUUACACCCUGGACUCAGACUUCUAAUCUCCAGAACUGUAAGAAAAUAAAUUUCUGUUGCUUA